GAUCCUGGCUCAGAACGAACGCUGGCGGCAUGCCUAACACAUGCAAGUCGAACGAGACCUUCGGGUCUAGUGGCGCACGGGUGCGUAACGCGUGGGAAUCUGCCCUUGGGUUCGGAAUAACAGUUAGAAAUGACUGCUAAUACCGGAUAAUGUCUUCGGACCAAAGAUUUAUCGCCCAGGGAUGAGCCCGCGUAGGAUUAGCUAGUUGGUGAGGUAAAGGCUCACCAAGACGACGAUCCUUAGCUGGUCUGAGAGGAUGAUCAGCCACACUGGGACUGAGACACGGCCCAGACUCCUACGGGAGGCAGCAGUGGGGAAUAUUGGACAAUGGGCGAAAGCCUGAUCCAGCAAUGCCGCGUGAGUGAUGAAGGCCUUAGGGUUGUAAAGCUCUUUUACCCGGGAUGAUAAUGACAGUACCGGGAGAAUAAGCCCCGGCUAACUCCGUG
Molecule: ribosomal RNA, 446 nt
Filed under: uncultured bacterium
Lineage: Bacteria
Description: bacterial SSU rRNA
Rfam family: Bacterial small subunit ribosomal RNA
Source: RNAcentral